AGGACGAACGCUGGCGGCGUGCUUAACACAUGCAAGUCGAACGGAAAGGCCCGCUUGCGGGUACUCGAGUGGCGAACGGGUGAGUAACACGUGGGCAACCUGCCCUCAGCUUCGGGAUAACACUUGGAAACAGGUGCUAAUACCGGAUAAUAACUUGUCAUCGCAUGGUGGUGGGUUCAAAGUUUUUCGGCUGAGGAUGGGCCCGCGGCCUAUCAGCUUGUUGGUGGGGUAAUGGCCUACCAAGGCGACGACGGGUAGCCGGCCUGAGAGGGCGACCGGCCACACUGGGACUGAGACACGGCCCAGACUCCUACGGGAGGCAGCAGUGGGGAAUAUUGCGCAAUGGGCGAAAGCCUGACGCAGCGACGCCGCGUGAGGGAUGACGGCCUUCGGGUUGUAACCUCUUUAGUAGGUAAGAAGCGAAAGUGACGGUACCUGCAGAAAAGCACCGGCUAACUACGUGCCAGCAGCCGC
RNAcentral lists this ribosomal RNA (474 nucleotides) under uncultured bacterium. Its description in RNAcentral is "SSU rRNA". It matches the Rfam family "Bacterial small subunit ribosomal RNA", at positions 26 to 518 of the family's 1533-position model. The record is from RNAcentral.